CAGGGGCCUAACAAGAAAAUUUCAUAGAAUGCAUGAUGACUUCAUGUAACAUGGUUAUGGAGAAUAUAAUUUAACCUUGAGAUUUGUUUUCGACACGUGGUCCAGUUAACGGCUGAUAAUCGCAUGACUGGACCAAGAUAUACAACACAAUCUUGUAAUUCCUAUUUCCCCAUUUGUGUCAACUCAUUCUUCCCGAUACUGUGACUAGAUAAUUUAUACUGCAACUUUUUCCUAUUUCUGUAAACGCUGAUGCAAGUUUCGUUGUUAACCCAUUAACUGCCAAAUUUUUUUUUUUGAAAUUUUUGGCCGGAUAAGUUAUAUAUAUGCAUAUUUUUGGCGCCGAGUAGUGUACGUAGAAUUCCAAAAUCCCCAAAUGGGGAUCGUGGCAGCUAAUGGGUUAACUGUAACUCUAACCUAUAAAUGGGUGUAACAGAAAAAACUUUUCAAUAACAAUGUACUCUACUAAAGAAUGUGGACAAUUACUACUACUGAUUAAUGCAUUAAUAUAAAAGCAAAAAUCAGUGGUGUGAUUUCUAUAGAACAGUAGCAGUCACGAGUGAUCAUAAAUGAGUGUCAUCGACCUACACGACUUACAUUUCAUUUGAAAAAUAACAAAUAAAAAAUCAUACCCUCGUCAUUUUAUUUCAAUACCUAAAUAAAGUACGCAUGCGAACGCUAUGGAGAUAAGCGUACGAGUAAUUUUAUGAGAGAAUUAUCAAGUUUUAUUAUAUGGGCAAUUGUACAAUAAUUAUGUAAUAAUACAAAUGUUGUAUAGGAUGUCUAACCAUAAAAUGGUAAAAGCUGGUAAUUACGAUUUUUAUUGGGGAGGGGAAGGGGGAGGAGGAAGAAGAUUUUAAAAUACUAGAAUUUGGGAUUUUAGAUUUUCAGAAGGUUAAAAUGACAAGGAGGUCGGUCUACAUACAGGGGCAGGGGGCCCCUGAACCCUGCCUAGUCACGCCAAUGAUUACUCCAGUAUUUAUCAAAGAGCCUAAUUUUAAAAUGAAAAUAUUAUCAUGAACAAUAUUUCACUUUUUCAUAAUAUUGAUGCAACAUUAAUCUCUUGUUUCGAAAUUCCGUAACGUAUGCCCGAAGAUUGAUAUGCUUUCUUGAUAAAAUGUAGGUAUCAUAGUUAAAUUUUCUAAAGAUAGAAUAUUUAUCUUCCAAACUAAUAGGCAUGACGUUAUAUUCUAUCUGACAAUGUAUGUACAUAAUUAAAGAAUAUGUAUAUUUUCAAGGAAAUUAGUCUCCUAGGAGACUAACAGCUGUGCAAUUGUAAAAAAUUCCACAGAUAUGGAAUUUUAAAAAAUUCCACAGUUCUGGAAUUUUUAAAAAUUCCACAGUUCUGGAAUUGUAGAAAAAUUCCACAGUUGUGGAAUUGUAAAAAGAAAACAGAUUGUGCGAAAAAUCACGUUAUGAAUGGUGCUAUACUUUAUCUGUUGAUAUGUGCCAUACAAGAAGAAUUUCGUAUGUAGGACAUAACCUUAAAACAUUUGUUAACCAGAACUUAAACCAAAAUUCAGAAAUGUUGUAAAUGAUGUAAAACGAUACUAGAAAAUGUAAAAACGUAUAUAGAAAUGGUAACAGUAGAAGUUUAUAAGUUGCAAAAAAAAAGAAAACAUGAAAAUCAUUCAAUUGCAAAACUAGAGCUUACUCACAGAUCACAUGUAUCUCAUGUUCUGCUGUGUCAGUGACAUUGUAUCAGACUGUUCUAUAGUUACGCGUUCGCACACCCUGCAAAGAUUACACAAGAUCGUGUUCUUUUCUUCUUUCUUCGUCUCCUAUUUUGUAGAAACUGAUAAUUUCUCUGCCAAAAAAAAACGAGAGAAACGUCCAAGGAAAGUUGCAUCAUGUUGAACAGCAUCUAUAUACGUCAUUGUUACCAUAUGAUAUUAUCAGAAAACGUAAAUAUAUAAUAUCAUCGAAAUGACAUACUUAAGUCUUUCAAUGGAAAACGCAUGCUUCAACAGCAAUGACACACAUUUCUCCCUAAAUAAGAAAAUAUUAUUCCUAAAAUAUUCCUAUAAUAUUAUUAGUGAAGUUUUGAUGUAUUACACAAAAUGGAAAUCUAUGUUACAUAUUUUCAAAAUCUACGUCAUUACUGUGAGAUGAUAGUAUCAGAAACCGAUUUGCUUUGCAACAGAAAUAAAUUUGUAUUGAAAUGCAACGACAAGAAGAAUUUGAAUAAAUAUUUUCAUCUUUUCACCUAUAA
Osmia bicornis bicornis is the source of this 2209-nucleotide long non-coding RNA. RefSeq lists it as uncharacterized. The transcript is spliced from 2 exons. The record is from RefSeq and is a predicted model, not a curated record. NCBI's taxonomy places the organism in Eukaryota, Metazoa, Arthropoda, Insecta, Hymenoptera, Megachilidae.